Molecule: ribosomal RNA, 922 nt
Filed under: Streptococcus pneumoniae
Lineage: Bacteria; Bacillati; Bacillota; Bacilli; Lactobacillales; Streptococcaceae
Description: partial 23S ribosomal RNA
Rfam family: Bacterial large subunit ribosomal RNA
Source: RNAcentral
AAAAUGCCCCCGUAACUUCGGGAGAAGGGGGGCCCCGACCGUGGACACCACUUGCUGGUGCGAGCGGGUAAGGGCCGCAGAGACCAGGGGGAAGCGACUGUUUAUCAAAAACACAGGUCCGUGCGAAGUCGCAAGACGAUGUAUACGGACUGACUCCUGCCCGGUGCUGGAAGGUUAAGAGGACCUGUUAGCCUCACGGCGAAGCGGAGAAUUUAAGCCCCAGUAAACGGCGGUGGUAACUAUAACCAUCCUAAGGUAGCGAAAUUCCUUGUCGGGUAAGUUCCGACCUGCACGAAUGGAGUAACGACUUCCCCGCUGUCUCAACCAUGAACUCGGCGAAAUUGCAGUACGAGUAAAGAUGCUCGUUACGCGCAGCAGGACGGAAAGACCCCGAGACCUUUACUAUAGUUUGGUAUUGGUGUUCGGUGUGGCUUGUGUAGGAUAGGUGGGAGACGGUGAAGCGGGCACGCCAGUGCACGUGGAGUCAACGUUGAAAUACCACUCUGGUCACUCUGGACAUCUAACUUCGGCCCGUGAUCCGGGUCAGGGACAGUGCCUGAUGGGUAGUUUAACUGGGGCGGUUGCCUCCUAAAGAGUAACGGAGGCGCCCAAAGGUUCCCUCAGCCUGGUUGGCAAUCAGGUGUCGAGUGUAAGUGCACAAGGGAGCUUGACUGUGAGAGCGACAGCUCGAGCAGGGACGAAAGUCGGGACUAGUGAUCCGGCGGUACAUUGUGGAAUGGCCGUCGCUCAACGGAUAAAAGGUACCUCGGGGAUAACAGGCUGAUCUUGCCCAAGAGUCCAUAUCGACGGCAUGGUUUGGCACCUCGAUGUCGGCUCGUCGCAUCCUGGGGCUGGAGUUGGUCCCAAGGGUUGGGCUGUUCGCCCAUUAAAGCGGUACGCGAGCUGGGUUCAGAACGUCGUG